RNAcentral lists this long non-coding RNA (237 nucleotides) under Elaeis guineensis (African oil palm). RNAcentral describes it as "long non-coding RNA (EGUI_LNC040124)". The record is from RNAcentral. Lineage: Eukaryota; Viridiplantae; Streptophyta; Magnoliopsida; Arecales; Arecaceae.
UUGGUACAUGAUCAUAUAUAUGGGUGUCAAAUAUAAAAAGGGAAGGCCAUUAAUCAUUGAUGAUUAAGAGAAGUUUUGUGUGACAAAAAGAAAAGAAAAAGAGAUCUGAAAAUCAUGGUGAGGUGUGAGUUAUUUUGUGCGACAAAAGAAAGGGAGGGCCAAAUCAGAUUUGGCAUGAAGUUUCUUGGUGUGAAGAGUUCUUGACAUGCUUUUUUUGGUGUGAAGAUUCCAAUCUGA